CUGGCGGCGUGCUUAACACAUGCAAGUUGAACGGUCCGGCAUGGAAGCUUGCUGAAGUGUCGGGUAGUAGCGGACGGGUGAGUAAUGCAUGAGAAGCUGCCAUUGGGAGGGGGACAACAGUUGGAAACGGCUGCUAAUACCCCAUAUGCCGGAAGGUGAAACGGAGUGAUCCGCCCGAUGAGGUGCUCAUGUCCUAUCAGCUUGUUGGUGAGGUAACGGCUCACCAAGGCGACGACGGGUAGCCGGCCUGAGAGGGUGACCGGCCACACUGGAACUGAGAUACGGUCCAGACUCCUACGGGAGGCAGCAGGUGGGGAAUAUUGGGCAAAGUGGGGGCAACCCUGACCCAGCGACGCCGCGUGAGGGAAGACGGUCCUUCGGGUUAGUAAACCUUCUUUUGUACGGGAAGAAGGACGUGACGGUACCGUGCGAAUAAGUCCCGGCUAACUACGUGCCAGCCGCUGC
Molecule: ribosomal RNA, 465 nt
Filed under: uncultured bacterium
Lineage: Bacteria
Description: bacterial SSU rRNA
Rfam family: Bacterial small subunit ribosomal RNA
Source: RNAcentral